AUUGAACGCUAGCGGCAUGCCUAACACAUGCAAGUCGUACGGCAGCACGAGGAGCUUGCUCCUUGGUGGCGAGUGGCGGACGGGUGAGUAACGCGUAGGAAUCUGUCUUGUAGCGGGGGACAACCCGGGGAAACUCGGGCUAAUACCGCAUAAUGUAUUCGGACCAAAGUUGGGGCCCUUCGGGCCUAACACUACAAGAUGAGCCUGCGUUGGAUUAGCUAGUUGGUGGGGUAAAGGCCUACCAAGGCAACGAUCCAUAGCUGGUCUGAGAGGACGACCAGGCACACUGGAACUGAGACAAGGCCCAGACUCCUACGGGAGGCAGCAGUGGGGAAUAUUGGACAAUGGGCGAAAGCCUGAUCCAGCAAUGCCGCGUGUGUGAAGAAGGCCUUCGGGUUGUAAAGCACUUUCGUUGGGGAAGAAAAAGCCAAAGUUAAUAUCUUUGGAAAUUGACGUUACCCAAAGAAGAAGCACUGGCUAACUCUGUGCCAGCAGCCGCGGUAA
Molecule: ribosomal RNA, 504 nt
Filed under: uncultured bacterium
Lineage: Bacteria
Description: partial 16S ribosomal RNA
Rfam family: Bacterial small subunit ribosomal RNA
Source: RNAcentral